RNAcentral lists this long non-coding RNA (666 nucleotides) under Gossypium barbadense (sea-island cotton). Its description in RNAcentral is "long non-coding RNA (GBAR_LNC016685)". Lineage: Eukaryota; Viridiplantae; Streptophyta; Magnoliopsida; Malvales; Malvaceae. The record is from RNAcentral.
AAUCUGAGCUUCUACACGUCGUUUGGUUCUAAGUAUGCCGAUUACCUGAGAAGUCAAAGAACUUGGGUGAGCUUAUAGGCUUAGUGUGCAACUCAACCCAAACAGGCAGAAUAGACUCAAAUACAAUAACAAUUAUAGAAAUAGAUACAAUUCAAUUACAUAUAUAAUUUCAGUUUUAGAUACAGAUACAAUCUCAUAUACAGAAUCAGAUGCAGAUAUAGAUGCAAAUACAAAUGCAAAUACAGACACAGAAACAGAUCCUACACCCAUCGACUACACACCAUCUCCGUCCCACCAAUACAUACCAAAUAGGAAUAUAAGAGCCCAUCCAUCCGUCACACCAAUAAGUGAGCAUAUAUCACUUUUUAGAAUAGCAUAGUCAAGCUGCCAGAAAUAAUGCGGUAUUCUGCCAAAAUCAAUAAGUGUGGUCAAGCCACCAUAUUAGAUAUGUGGUUAAACCACAAAUUAAGUUAUUCCGAGUUGCCCGACAAUGAUGGCUUAUAAAUAUCAGUAUGCAAUUAAACUGCCAAAACACUUCCUCCAUCACAUCAUCAUCCCACCCCAAUGCACAUGUGAAAACAUUUUACAUACUUAGAUGCACAUAAAUGAAUCAUGCUUAAAUAGAUUCUCAAAUUACAGAUCAGAAGCAUAAAUUAUACCACAGAC